Molecule: ribosomal RNA, 412 nt
Filed under: Aeromonas salmonicida subsp. salmonicida 01-B526
Lineage: Bacteria; Pseudomonadati; Pseudomonadota; Gammaproteobacteria; Aeromonadales; Aeromonadaceae
Description: bacterial SSU rRNA
Rfam family: Bacterial small subunit ribosomal RNA
Source: RNAcentral
UAGUGGCGAACGGGUGAGUAACACGUGAGAAACCUGCCCCAGACUCUGGGAUAACCUCGGGAAACCGAAGCUAAUACCGGAUAUUCUCCUUUGGUCGCAUGGCCAGUUGAGGAAAGUUUUUCGGUCUGGGAGGGUCUCGCGGCCUAUCAGCUAGUUGGUGGGGUAACGGCCCACCAAGGCUACGACGGGUAGCUGGUUUGAGAGAACGAUCAGCCACACUGGAACUGAGACACGGUCCAGACUCCUACGGGAGGCAGCAGUGGGGAAUCUUGCGCAAUGGGCGAAAGCCUGACGCAGCAACGCCGCGUGAGUGAUGAAGGCCUUAGGGUUGUAAAGCUCUUUCACCGGUGAAGAUAAUGACGGUAACCGGAGAAGAAGCCCCGGCUAACUUCGUGCCAGCCGCCGCGGUAAU